GAUGAACGCUGGCGGCGUGCCUAAUACGUGCAAGUCGAGCGAACGGACGAGAAGCUUGCUUCUCUGAUGUUAGCGGCGGACGGGUGAGUAACACGUGGAUAACCUACCUAUAAGACUGGGAUAACUUCGGGAAACCGGAGCUAAUACCGGAUAAUAUUUUGAACCGCAUGGUUCAAAAGUGAAAGACGGUCUUGCUGUCACUUAUAGAUGGAUCCGCGCUGCAUUAGCUAGUUGGUAAGGUAACGGCUUACCAAGGCAACGAUGCAUAGCCGACCUGAGAGGGUGAUCGGCCACACUGGAACUGAGACACGGUCCAGACUCCUACGGGAGGCAGCAGUAGGGAAUCUUCCGCAAUGGGCGAAAGCCUGACGGAGCAACGCCGCGUGAGUGAUGAAGGUCUUCGGAUCGUAAAACUCUGUUAUUAGGGAAGAACAUAUGUGUAAGUAACUGUGCACAUCUUGACGGUACCUAAUCAGAAAGCCGCGGCUAACUACGUG
RNAcentral lists this ribosomal RNA (497 nucleotides) under uncultured bacterium. Its description in RNAcentral is "partial 16S ribosomal RNA". It matches the Rfam family "Bacterial small subunit ribosomal RNA", at positions 28 to 507 of the family's 1533-position model. The record is from RNAcentral.